Molecule: long non-coding RNA, 220 nt
Filed under: Fukomys damarensis (Damara mole-rat)
Lineage: Eukaryota; Metazoa; Chordata; Mammalia; Rodentia; Bathyergidae
Description: lncRNA (ENSFDAG00000023382.1)
Source: RNAcentral
CAUACUUCUGAGCUCUGAGAGUUCUAAUUUUAGUCCACGUCGCACGGUUGCCUAGAACGCUCCGAUUAUGAGGAGAGAUUCCCUUUAAUUCAAAGUAGGAAGAGCAGCGCUAUCGCUCUGUUUCUGCCUUCUGCGGUCUGGGAGGGUCAGGCCUGGAAGCAGCGUCUCUAUCUCCAGAGUGUUUGGGCAUUCCCCUGAAAAUGCGGACUCUAAGGCUAAC